GAGAGAGAAGUUCCGCUUAACGCCGGGCUGCGAAAGGCGGGGACGUCACGCUAUUGGUAGGGAGUAGAGAGAAAGGGCUGGUUUAAAGGCCUUUUUUCUGUCCAUUGGAUGAACUGGAUGUCAAUCACUCAGGCUGAGUGGGCGGCGCUGAGAGAGGUCGGUGAGAGCGGCCUUAGCAACCGCCAGUGAGCUGUGAAGACUUGGGUUGAGCGGGGCUGCGGGAGGUGACGUCGGGAGGUCCCGGCUGAGAGCGCCGGCUGCCGCCUGGGGACAUGGUGUGUGUGAAGCUGUAACCUUCUGCUGGGGCCGGGGCUGAAGUUUUUCCGCCAGAGCAAGGAAGGCUGCUCCUGGCAGCAACUGCACUCCUUCCUUACUCCUGUUGAGGUUCAUUUUAUAGUAGGAAAUAGGCAUCUAACUACCAUACAAGUUCAGACCAAUGGAAGAAAAGAGCAGCAAAAAUUGAACUGAAUGAAUCCCAAAAGCAAGAAAUUAAAGACGCCUUUAAUUUAUUUGAUAUUGAUGGGUCUGGAACCAUCGAUGUAAAAGAAGGAAAUGCUUGAUGAAGCUGAUCAUGAUGGAGAUGGAGAAAUAAACGAGGAAGAUUUUUUGAGAGUGAUGAAAAAGACUACUCGUUAUUAAUAGCAUUGUUUUGGUCCUUGUGGAAAAUUAACAAAUUUGUAUUUGUUAUGCAGUUUUAUAAUUUAAUAUCUGAAUGUAUUCAUUUUCAGUUUUUAGUUUAUAUGUACACAUUGGCUUCUUGAUGUCUAAUCCAUGUAAGAAGUUACACAUCUCUACCAAUAUGAUGUUAAAUCUACAGCAUCAAGAAACAAAACAUAAUGACUUCUUUGAGCCAUUAAUCCAAGAACAGUAUUGAUUCUAGCUGCUCUUUUGAGAACCUUAGGUCACAAAGACUUAGAAUUUUAAAGUUUGAUGAAAUUGGCUUCACAUCCAAAUGAAUUUGGCAAACAAAACUUAUAUUUUCCUUUCGUGCAAUCCAAAAAAACCUGAUGAACAUUUGCUUUUUAGUCAGUUACUCAAAUACAUAAAGUAUUAAAUAGAACUGUCUGGAAACAUUAUUUGCUAAUUUUCUUCUUUUAGUUAUAAAGAAAAUUCAAAAUAGCACUUACAUCACCCAUAUUUCCCUGUAAGUUUGACCCUAUAGUGAGCACUUAAUACCUCUGUGCUAGGACAGGUGGUGUAGAGUUUUAUUUUUAAAAAAUUUUAUUUAUAUAUUUUUUGAGACAAAAUCUCCCUCUGUCACCCAGGCUGGAGUGCAGUGGUGCGAUCUCGGCUCAAUGCAACCUCUGCCUCCUGGGCUCGAGAGAUUCUCCUGCCUCAGCCUCCCGAGUAGCUGGGACUACAGGUACCUGCCACCAUGCCUAGCUAAUUUUUUGCAUUUUUAGUAGAGACGGAGUUUCACUGUGUUAGCCAUGAUGGUCUCAAUCUCCUGACCUCGUGAUCUGCCUACCUCAGCCUCCCAAACUGCUGGGAUUACAGGGGUGAGCCACCGUGCCUGGCCGAGAUUUUAUGUAUUAACCUCAGUAAACAUAUUACAAGUUGGAAGCUGAUUGUAUUAGCUCCAUUUUACAUACAAGAAAACUAAAGUUCAGAGAAGUUUUAAAAAUUCCCCAGUUGCCCAUUGAUAAUAAAUAAAAACAUGGAUUCCAAAUCUUAAGUUCUUAUUCUUCAUUAUGCUGCUUCCCUAUGGAUAAAACUUUCAAGAUAACUGUGUAUUUUCUAACUCAUUUUCAAUUCUGUGACUCUUGUGAUUUCUUCCUUGUGAAAGAGCCAAACUGUUGGGAAACGGAAUCUCAUACAUACAGUCUUUUAACUCCUACUCAGUUGUUUGAGAGUGGGCCUUGGGCCUGGAACACUUCUUUUGAAGAGACUAGGAGUCCACAGAGCCUGUGCUGAACUUACCACCCCGUAUAGUAAUAUCUUCCUCUGUUUCAGAGUCAAUGUGUAGUCCUUUGCCCUGCUGAAGUGUGUGCAUCAUAUGGCAUCUGACCAACCCCACUGCUCUGUCUCCUGUUGGGGAGGGGAUGGGGGUCCUUCAGCACAAGAGGAGUGUUUGCAGGCCACCUGCCCUGUGUCAGCUGCCAAGAGGGACCCUCUGGUCAUGGAAGACUGAAGUCCACUAGGGAAGCUGAUCUUGCUCUGUCUCUUCUGUAUAGCAAGAUCAAAUUCAUCAAUAUAUGGACAAUUUAAGAGGCUUUUACUCCAACCGUUCCUGACCAAAUUCUGCCAACAACCAUGUGAACGAGCUUUGAAACUGAUCUUUUUCCAGUUGACCUUUGAGAUAGUACAACUCUAGUUGACACUUUGAUUACAACAAGUGAGAGACCCUGAAGCAGAGGAACAAGUGAAGGCACCCCUGGAUUUCUGAUUUAUAGAAACCGUGCAAUAACAAUUAUUUUAAGCUACUGAGUUAUGGGACAGCUAUGCAGCAAUAGAUUACUGCUAUAGUCCUCCAUCUUGAGACUUGUGUUAACUUCUCCCCUAUUGAACGGCUAGAUAUACAAGGAACCAACUAAGAGUUCUAUCAAAUAUUAAAUAAAGAUGAGAUUAAAUAGACUUAUUACAUGAUGGCAUAUUUAAAAUAGCAACAUCAUUUAUUAGGGUGAUGCUCUUUUAUAACUAUUUGCUUGUCACACACGCAUCUGAAACUCAGUGAGUUUGCUGCCUCUUUCUGUAGCUUAGAUAUCAUGGGGACUUUAGUUCACCAAUGAGAGGACUAUUAAGAACUUUUUUAA
Gorilla gorilla gorilla (western lowland gorilla) is the source of this 2753-nucleotide long non-coding RNA. RefSeq lists it as uncharacterized. NCBI's taxonomy places the organism in Eukaryota, Metazoa, Chordata, Mammalia, Primates, Hominidae. The record is from RefSeq and is a predicted model, not a curated record. The transcript is spliced from 4 exons.